UACGUAGGGGGCAAGCGUUGUCCGGAUUUAUUGGGCGUAAAGAGCGUGUAGGCGGUUUGGUAGGUCCGCUGUGAAAACUCGAGGCUCAACCUCGAGACGCCGGUGGAAACCAUCAGACUAGAGUCCGGAAGAGGAGAGUGGAAUUCCUGGUGUAGCGGUGAAAUGCGCAGAUAUCAGGAGGAACACCAGUGGCGAAGGCGGUGCUCUGGGCCGGUACUGACGCUGAGGAGCGAAAGCGUGGGGAGCGAACAGG
Molecule: ribosomal RNA, 253 nt
Filed under: uncultured bacterium
Lineage: Bacteria
Description: partial 16S ribosomal RNA
Rfam family: Bacterial small subunit ribosomal RNA
Source: RNAcentral